Molecule: ribosomal RNA, 253 nt
Filed under: uncultured bacterium
Lineage: Bacteria
Description: partial 16S ribosomal RNA
Rfam family: Bacterial small subunit ribosomal RNA
Source: RNAcentral
UACGAAGGGUGCAAGCGUUACUCGGAAUUACUGGGCGUAAAGCGUGCGUAGGUGGUUCGUUAAGUCUGAUGUGAAAGCCCUGGGCUCAACCUGGGAAUGGCAUUGGAUACUGGCGGGCUAGAGUGCGGUAGAGGGUAGUGGAAUUCCCGGUGUAGCAGUGAAAUGCGUAGAGAUCGGGAGGAACAUCCGUGGCGAAGGCGACUACCUGGACCAGCACUGACACUGAGGCACGAAAGCGUGGGGAGCAAACAGG